This 68-nucleotide transfer RNA is filed under the name Marmota monax (woodchuck). RNAcentral's name for it is "tRNA.Ala". The stretch from base 5 to 65 matches the Rfam family "tRNA", at positions 6 to 65 of the family's 71-position model. Rfam says of the family: Transfer RNA (tRNA) molecules are approximately 80 nucleotides in length. Their secondary structure includes four short double-helical elements and three loops (D, anti-codon, and T loops). Further hydrogen bonds mediate the characteristic L-shaped molecular structure. tRNAs have two regions of fundamental functional importance: the anti-codon, which is responsible for specific mRNA codon recognition, and the 3' end, to which the tRNAs corresponding amino acid is attached (by aminoacyl-tRNA synthetases). tRNAs cope with the degeneracy of the genetic code in two manners: having more than one tRNA (with a specific anti-codon) for a particular amino acid; and 'wobble' base-pairing, i.e. permitting non-standard base-pairing at the 3rd anti-codon position. The record is from RNAcentral. Lineage: Eukaryota; Metazoa; Chordata; Mammalia; Rodentia; Sciuridae.
GGUCUGUGGUUCAGCGGUAGAGCACUCGCCUCGCAUGUGCGAGGUCCUGGGUUCGAUUCUCAGCACCA